RNAcentral lists this ribosomal RNA (1133 nucleotides) under uncultured fungus. Its description in RNAcentral is "eukaryotic LSU rRNA". The stretch from base 513 to 1133 matches the Rfam family "Eukaryotic large subunit ribosomal RNA", at positions 1 to 649 of the family's 3401-position model. The record is from RNAcentral. Lineage: Eukaryota; Fungi.
AAGUCGUAACAAGGUCUCCGUUGGUGAACCAGCGGAGGGAUCAUUACAGAGUUGCAAAACUCCCACACCAUUGUGAACGUUACCCGUACCGUUGCUUCGGCGCGCCGGCUCCCCCCGUUCGCGGGGGGGCGGCCCGCCGGACGAUAUCAAAACUCUUGUCUCACACUGGCCUCUCUGAGAACUUGUACAAAUGAGUCAAAACUUUCAACAACGGAUCUCUUGGUUCUGGCAUCGAUGAAGAACGCAGCGAAAUGCGAUAAGUAAUGUGAAUUGCAGAAUUCAGUGAAUCAUCGAAUCUUUGAACGCACAUUGCGCCCGCUAGUAUUCUGGCGGGCAUGCCUGUUCGAGCGUCAUUUCAACCAUCAAGCCCCCGGGCUUGCGUUGGGGCACCGCGGCCGCCGCGGUCCCUGAAAACCAGUGGCGGGCUCGCUGUCACUCCGGGCGCAGUACUAUAUCUCGCUCUGGUUGUGCGGCGGGUGCCGGCCGUUAAACACCCCCCUUCAUACCAAGGUUGACCUCGGAUCAGGUAGGAAUACCCGCUGAACUUAAGCAUAUCAAUAAGCGGAGGAAAAGAAACCAACAGGGAUUGCCCUAGUAACGGCGAGUGAAGCGGCAACAGCUCAAAUUUGAAAUCCGGCUCCGGCCCGAGUUGUAAUUUGUAGAGGAAGCUUUUGGUGCGGCACCUACCAAGUCCCCUAGAACGGGGCGCCAUAGAGGGUGAGAGCCCCGUAUGGUAGGACGCCAAUCCUCUGUAAAGCUCCUUCGACGAGUCGAGUAGUUUGGGAAUGCUGCUCUAAAUGGGAGGUAAAUUUCUUCUAAAGCUAAAUAUUGGCCAGAGACCGAUAGCGCACAAGUAGAGUGAUCGAAAGAUGAAAAGCACUUUGAAAAGAGGGUUAAACAGCACGUGAAAUUGUUGAAAGGGAAGCGCUUGUGACCAGACUUGCGCCGGGUUGAUCAUCCGGAGUUCUCUCCGGUGCACUCUGCCCGGCUCAGGCCAGCAUCGGUUCUCGCAGGGGGAUAAAGGCCCUGGGAACGUAGCUCCUCCGGGAGUGUUAUAGCUCAGGGUGCAAUGCCCUCGCGGGGACCGAGGAUCGCGCUCUGCAAGGAUGCUGGCGUAAUGGUCACCAGCGACC